This 393-nucleotide ribosomal RNA is filed under the name uncultured bacterium. Its description in RNAcentral is "partial 16S ribosomal RNA". It matches the Rfam family "Bacterial small subunit ribosomal RNA", at positions 523 to 918 of the family's 1533-position model. The record is from RNAcentral.
AUACGGAGGAUCCGAGCGUUAUCCGGAUUUAUUGGGUUUAAAGGGUGCGCAGGCGGGAGAUUAAGUCGGCGGUGAAAUUUUGCAGCUCAACUGUGAAAGGGCCUUCGAAACUGGUUUCCUUGAGUGUAGAUGAAGUAGGCGGAAUUUUUGGGGUAGCGGGGAAAUGCAUAGAUAUCACGAGGAACUCCGAUUGCGCAGGCAGCUUACUAAACUACUACUGACGCUCAGGCACGAAGGCGUGGGGAUCAAACAGGAUUAGAUACCCUGGUAGUCCACGCAGUAAACGAUGAUUACUAGCUGUUUGCGAUACAAUGUAAGCGGCUGAGCGAAAGCGUUAAGUAAUCCACCUGGGGAGUACGUUCGCAAGAAUGAAACUCAAAUGAAUUGACGGGG